AAAUUGAAGAGUUUGAUCAUGGCUCAGAUUGAACGCUGGCGGCAGGCCUAACACAUGCAAGUCGAACGGUAACAGGAAGCAGCUUGCUGCUUUGCUGACGAGUGGCGGACGGGUGAGUAAUGUCUGGGAAACUGCC
This 136-nucleotide ribosomal RNA is filed under the name Pseudomonas aeruginosa. RNAcentral describes it as "partial 16S ribosomal RNA". It matches the Rfam family "Bacterial small subunit ribosomal RNA", at positions 1 to 130 of the family's 1533-position model. Lineage: Bacteria; Pseudomonadati; Pseudomonadota; Gammaproteobacteria; Pseudomonadales; Pseudomonadaceae. RNAcentral also lists the same sequence under 26 other names. The record is from RNAcentral.